AACGCACGAGACCUGCGGACCUGCGGAAGGAUCAUUACCGAGUUAUCCAACUCCCAACCCCUGUGAAUCAUACCUUUAAUUGUUGCUUCGGCGGGACUUCGCGCCCGCCGGGGACCCAAACCUUCUGAAUUUUUUAAUAAGUAUCUUCUGAGUGGUUAAAAAAAAUGAAUCAAAACUUUUAGCAAUGGAUCUCU
RNAcentral lists this unclassified non-coding RNA (194 nucleotides) under soil metagenome. RNAcentral describes it as "partial contains 5.8S ribosomal RNA, internal transcribed spacer 2, and large subunit ribosomal RNA". The record is from RNAcentral.